GCCUCCUUAGCUCAGCUGGUAGAGCAACUGACUUGUAAUCAGUAGGUCGGCGGUUCGAUCCCGUCAGGGGGCUC
RNAcentral lists this transfer RNA (74 nucleotides) under Cyclobacteriaceae bacterium. RNAcentral's name for it is "tRNA-Thr". It matches the Rfam family "tRNA". Rfam says of the family: Transfer RNA (tRNA) molecules are approximately 80 nucleotides in length. Their secondary structure includes four short double-helical elements and three loops (D, anti-codon, and T loops). The record is from RNAcentral. Lineage: Bacteria; Pseudomonadati; Bacteroidota; Cytophagia; Cytophagales; Cyclobacteriaceae.